This 233-nucleotide long non-coding RNA is filed under the name Capsicum annuum. Its description in RNAcentral is "long non-coding RNA (CANN_LNC022209)". The record is from RNAcentral. Lineage: Eukaryota; Viridiplantae; Streptophyta; Magnoliopsida; Solanales; Solanaceae.
AGAUAUUAUAAUACCCUAGAACUUUCAACUCUAUACCUUCCAUGAGGUACACCAUUGAAUUAGCUUUUCAAUGCUACCAGUCUGGCCUUGAUUCGAUAUCAUAGUGAGAAGUUUGAAAAAAUUCGCCCAAGUGAUGGUCGCACUGCUAGUGACAACGACUUUACAAAUUACCCAUUAUCAGAUGUAACGUGUCAUUGUGUGAGAUUCGUUACCACCCUAGUAAGGGAUCCCAG